Molecule: ribosomal RNA, 470 nt
Filed under: uncultured bacterium
Lineage: Bacteria
Description: bacterial SSU rRNA
Rfam family: Bacterial small subunit ribosomal RNA
Source: RNAcentral
ACUCCUACGGGAGGCAGCAGUGAGGAAUAUUGGUCAAUGGACGCAAGUCUGAACCAGCCAUGUCGCGUGCAGGAAGACUGCCCUAUGGGGUUGUAAACUGCUUUUUAUACGGGAAGAAAUAUAGCUACGUGUAGUUAUUUGCCGGUACCGUAUGAAUAAGCAUCGGCUAACUCCGUGCCAGCAGCCGCGGUAAUACGGAGGAUGCGAGCGUUAUCCGGAUUCAUUGGGUUUAAAGGGUGCGUAGGCGGAAGUAUAAGUCAGGGGUGAAAGUUUGUGGCUCAACCAUAAAAUUGCCUUUGAUACUGUAUUUCUUGAGUACAUUUGAGGUAGGCGGAAUGUGUUGUGUAGCGGUGAAAUGCUUAGAUAUAACACAGAACACCGAUUGCGAAGGCAGCUUACUAAACUGUAACUGACGCUGAUGCACGAAAGCGUGGGAUCGAACAGGAUUAGAUACCCCUGGUAGCACAGAG